CCUGCCCACCAGAGAACAACCCCCUUUGACUGUAAUUUUCCAUUACCUUCCCAAAUCCUAUAAAACGGCCCCACCCCAUCUCCCUUCGCUGACUCUCUUUUCGGACUCAGCCCGCCUGCACCCAGGUGAAAUAAACAGCCAUGUUGCUCACACAAAGCCUGUUUGGUGGUCCCUUCACACGGACACGCUUGAAAGAUGCAGCCCACUUUGGUGGGCUUUUCCUUUGUCCCAAAUUUCCUUGUGGGCCGCUCAGCUGCCAGUGAUGCUCCUCGCAUGGGUCAGGUGUCCUAUCCUGUUAGAGUUGGGAAAACAUCUCAAUUCUUGCCUCACCAUUGCCCUUUUAUAACUGGGCUUAUGAUUACAACACCAUCGUAGAAAACCUAAACAAAUCUUUUUUUUCUUUUUUUUUUUGAGAUGGAGUCUCGCUCUGUUGCCCAGGCUGGAGUGCAGUGGCGCGAUCUUGGCUCACUGCAAGCUCCGUCUUCUGGGUUCACGCCAUUCUCCUGCCUCAGCCUCCCGAGUAGCUGGGACUACGGGCGUCCACACCGCGCCCAGCUAAUUUUUUGUAUUUUUAGUAGAGACGGGGUUUCACCGUGGUCUCCAUCUCCUGACCUCGUGAUCUGCCCACCUCCCAAAGUGCUGGGAUUAUAGGUGUGAGCCACCGCACCCGGCCUAAACUAACCUUGUAUUUCUAGGAAAGAGAAUGUUUACAAACAUUGGACUCACUUGGUUUGUGAGCCGAACAGCAUAACCAAGGCUAUAGAACAAGCCUCAUUUUCUAGGGCUCUGAAAAGCCCCUUUCUCUGCAGUUCACUCCUAGGAGCUGAUUUAAUUCCCUCUUACCUUGGUGAUUCUGAUACAAAUUUGGAGAUGAUGGCAAAUUCAUUUUCCUAUGGUUUAUUUAUUUAUUUUUGUUUUUAAAAUCUCCAGUUUACAGUUGGAGAAACUGAGCCUCAGGGAGGUUAUUUCACUCAAGGCCCAACAUUUAAUAAGUAAGAGUCAGAGAUACAAUCAAAGUAGCUGUCAGCUAAAGUGGACAGAAUACAGAUGGGUUUUGGACUUGGCAAAGUUCCUUAUUAUUUUUGAGUUUCACUUUCACAUCCAAAAUGAGAAUAAUAGUUACUACAAGGAUUGUUGUAAAGAUUAGAAGUAAUAUAUGUAAAGCACUGAGCUCAAUGCCUGGCUCUUGGUGGGUGGUCCAUAACUGGUAGUGAUUAUAAAUGGUCUGCCUGACUCCAAAAGCUUUGAGCUCUCCUUGAAAUGACAAUACCCUUCCUUCUCCAUUAAAGUUGUCCUAUUAAUUGCUCAUCUCUUGAGUAUAUGUUUAAUGCAUAUAUCUUGACUAUUUUUUCCCAUGUGUUCAAGUCUCUCUCAUUCUAAAAACAAAAUACAGAAGCAAUAAUAAUAAUAUAACAAACUAUUCAUGUAACUCUGCU
RNAcentral lists this long non-coding RNA (1436 nucleotides) under Homo sapiens (human). RNAcentral's name for it is "HSALNT0179979". Lineage: Eukaryota; Metazoa; Chordata; Mammalia; Primates; Hominidae. The record is from RNAcentral.